CAACGGCACCACGAGGGUUGUACUGUCUCCUUUUUCUAAUCAGUGAAACUAAUCUCCCCGUGAAGAAGCGGGGAUACUACUAUAAGACGAGAAGACCCCAUGGAGCUUUAAACCCAACUACACCCCUAUUUACAACAACUACUUAACCAAUUGGACACUGUAUGCUUGGUUUUAGGUUGGGGCGACCACGGAGUAAAAAAUAACCUCCACGAUAAAUGGGCUUACCCCCUUAUCU
This 235-nucleotide ribosomal RNA is filed under the name Mantidactylus sp. 48 MV-2009. RNAcentral describes it as "partial 16S ribosomal RNA". It matches the Rfam family "Bacterial large subunit ribosomal RNA", at positions 1994 to 2332 of the family's 2925-position model. Lineage: Eukaryota; Metazoa; Chordata; Amphibia; Anura; Mantellidae. The record is from RNAcentral.